GUAGGCGGUUUGUCGCGUCUGUCGUGAAAGUCCGGGGCUUAACCCCGGAUCUGCGGUGGGUACGGGCAGACUAGAGUGCAGUAGGGGAGACUGGAAUUCCUGGUGUAGCGGUGGAAUGCGCAGAUAUCAGGAGGAACACCGAUGGCGAAGGCAGGUCUCUGGGCUGUAACUGACGCUGAGGAGCGAAAGCAUGGGGAGCGAACAGGAUUA
This 210-nucleotide ribosomal RNA is filed under the name Micrococcus luteus. RNAcentral describes it as "partial 16S ribosomal RNA". It matches the Rfam family "Bacterial small subunit ribosomal RNA", at positions 571 to 780 of the family's 1533-position model. Lineage: Bacteria; Bacillati; Actinomycetota; Actinomycetes; Micrococcales; Micrococcaceae. The record is from RNAcentral.